Molecule: ribosomal RNA, 427 nt
Filed under: uncultured bacterium
Lineage: Bacteria
Description: partial 16S ribosomal RNA
Rfam family: Bacterial small subunit ribosomal RNA
Source: RNAcentral
UGGGGAAUAUUGCACAAUGGGCGCAAGCCUGAUGCAGCCAUGCCGCGUGUAUGAAGAAGGCCUUCGGGUUGUAAAGUACUUUCAGCGAGGAGGAAGGCGUUGUGGUUAAUAACCGCAGCGAUUGACGUUACUCGCAGAAGAAGCACCGGCUAACUCCGUGCCAGCAGCCGCGGUAAUACGGAGGGUGCAAGCGUUAAUCGGAAUUACUGGGUGUAAAGCGCACGCGGGCGGUCUGUCAAGUCGGAUGUGAAAUCCCCGGGCUCAACCUGGGAACUGCAUCCGAAACUGGCAGGCUAGAGUCUUGUAGAGGGGGGUAGAAUUCCAGGUGUAGCGGUGAAAUGCGUAGAGAUCUGGAGGAAUACCGGUGGCGAAGGCGGCCCCCUGGACAAAGACUGACGCUCAGGUGCGAAAGCGUGGGGAGCAAACA